RNAcentral lists this ribosomal RNA (450 nucleotides) under uncultured bacterium. RNAcentral's name for it is "partial 16S ribosomal RNA". It matches the Rfam family "Bacterial small subunit ribosomal RNA", at positions 354 to 796 of the family's 1533-position model. The record is from RNAcentral.
GUGGGGAAUAUUGGACAAUGGGCGAAAGCCUGAUCCAGCCAUGCCGCGUGUGUGAAGAAGGUCUUCGGAUUGUAAAGCACUUUAAGUUGGGAGGAAGGGCAGUAAGUUAAUACCUUGCUGUUUUGACGUUACCGACAGAAUAAGCACCGGCUAACUUCGUGCCAGCAGCCGCGGUACUACGAAGGGUGCAAGCGUUAAUCGGAAUUACUGGGCGUAAAGCGCGCGUAGGUGGUUUUGUAAGUUGGAGGUGAAAUCCCCGGGCUCAACCUGGGAACUGCCUCCAAAACUGCAUGACUAGAGUACGGUAGAGGGUAGUGGAAUUUCCUGUGUAGCGGUGAAAUGCGUAGAUAUAGGAAGGAACACCAGUGGCGAAGGCGACUACCUGGACUGAUACUGACACUGAGGUGCGAAAGCGUGGGGAGCAAACAGGAUUAGAUACCCCAGUAGUCC